RNAcentral lists this ribosomal RNA (425 nucleotides) under uncultured bacterium. Its description in RNAcentral is "bacterial SSU rRNA". It matches the Rfam family "Bacterial small subunit ribosomal RNA", at positions 356 to 773 of the family's 1533-position model. The record is from RNAcentral.
GGGGAAUAUUGCACAAUGGGGGAAACCCUGAUGCAGCCAUGCCGCGUGUGUGAAGAAGGCCUUCGGGUUGUAAAGCACUUUCAGCGAGGAGGAAAGGAGGAUAGCUAAUACCUAUUCUCUGUGACGUUACUCGCAGAAGAAGCACCGGCUAACUCCGUGCCAGCAGCCGCGGUAAUACGGAGGGUGCAAGCGUUAAUCGGAAUUACUGGGCGUAAAGCGCACGCAGGCGGUCAGAUAAGUCAGAUGUGAAAGCCCCGGGCUCAACCUGGGAACUGCAUUUGAAACUGUCUGACUAGAGUCUUGUAGAGGGGGGUAGAAUUCCAGGUGUAGCGGUGAAAUGCGUAGAGAUCUGGAGGAAUACCGGUGGCGAAGGCGGCCCCCUGGACAAAGACUGACGCUCAGGUGCGAAAGCGUGGGGAGCAAAC